GGCAGCAGUAGGGAAUAUUGCACAAUGGGCGCAACUGAAUGCAGCAACGCCGCGUGCGCGAUGAAGGCCUUCGGGUCGUAAAGCGCUUUUCUGGAGGACGAGCAAGGACGGUACUCCAGGAAGAAGGAUCGGCUAACUACGUGCCAGCAGCCGCGGUAACACGUAGGAUCCGAGCGUUAUCCGAAUUUACUGGGCGUAAAGCGCGUGCAGGCGGUUUGGUAAGUUGGACGUGAAAUCUCCCGGCUCAACUGGGAGGGGUCGUUCAAGACUGCCAGACUAGAGGGCAGUAGAGGGAGGUGGAAUUCCCGGUGUAGUGGUGAAAUGCGUAGAUAUCGGGAGGAACACCAGUGGCGAAAGCGGCCUCCUGGGCUGCACCUGACGCUCAGACGCGAAAGCUAGGGGAGCGAACGGGAUUAGAUACCCCGGUAGUCCUAGCUGUAAACGAUGUGGACUUGGCGUCGGUGGGUUCAAAUCCGCCGGUGCCGCAGCUAACGCGCUAAGUCCACCGCCUGGAGACUACGGCCGCAAGGUUAAAACUCAAAGGAAUUG
This 549-nucleotide ribosomal RNA is filed under the name uncultured bacterium. RNAcentral's name for it is "bacterial SSU rRNA". It matches the Rfam family "Bacterial small subunit ribosomal RNA", at positions 347 to 912 of the family's 1533-position model. The record is from RNAcentral.